This 253-nucleotide ribosomal RNA is filed under the name uncultured bacterium. Its description in RNAcentral is "partial 16S ribosomal RNA". It matches the Rfam family "Bacterial small subunit ribosomal RNA", at positions 524 to 776 of the family's 1533-position model. The record is from RNAcentral.
UACGGAGGGUGCGAGCGUUGUCCGGAAUCACUGGGCGUAAAGGGCGCGUAGGCGGCUCGGUAAGCGUGCGGUGAAAGCCUGGGGCUCAACCCCGGGUCGGCCGUGCGAACUGUCGAGCUGGAGCACUGUAGAGGCAGGCGGAAUUCCGCGUGUAGCAGUGAAAUGCGUAGAUAUGCGGAGGAACACCGAUGGCGAAGGCAAUCCCCUGGGCCUGCACUGACGCUCAUGCACGAAAGCGUGGGGAGCAAACAGG